Molecule: ribosomal RNA, 497 nt
Filed under: uncultured bacterium
Lineage: Bacteria
Description: partial 16S ribosomal RNA
Rfam family: Bacterial small subunit ribosomal RNA
Source: RNAcentral
GAUGAACGCUGGCGGCGUGCCUAAUACAUGCAAGUCGAGCGAACGGACGAGAAGCUUGCUUCUCUGAUGUUAGCGGCGGACGGGAGAGUAACACGUGGAUAACCUACCUAUAAGACUGGGAUAACUUCGGGAAACCGGUGCUAAUACCGGAUGAUAUUUUGAACCGCAUGGUUCAAAAGUGAAAGACGGUCUUGCUGUCACUUAUAGAUGGAUCCGCGCUGCAUUAGCUAAUUGGUAAGGUAACGGCUUACCAAGGCAACGAUGCAUAGCCGACCUGAGAGGGUGAUCAGCCACACUAGAACUGAGACACGGUCCAGACUCCUACGGGAGGCAGCAGUAGGGAAUCUUCCGCAAUGGGCGAAAGCCUGACGGAGCAACGCCGCGUGAGUGAUGAAGGUCUUCGGAUCGUAAAACUCUGUUAUUAGGGAAGAACAUAUGUGUAAGUAACUGUGCACAUCUUGACGGUACCUAAUCAGAAAGCCACGGCUAACUACGUG